This 69-nucleotide transfer RNA is filed under the name Marmota monax (woodchuck). Its description in RNAcentral is "tRNA.Ala". The stretch from base 4 to 64 matches the Rfam family "tRNA", at positions 6 to 65 of the family's 71-position model. Rfam says of the family: Transfer RNA (tRNA) molecules are approximately 80 nucleotides in length. Their secondary structure includes four short double-helical elements and three loops (D, anti-codon, and T loops). Further hydrogen bonds mediate the characteristic L-shaped molecular structure. tRNAs have two regions of fundamental functional importance: the anti-codon, which is responsible for specific mRNA codon recognition, and the 3' end, to which the tRNAs corresponding amino acid is attached (by aminoacyl-tRNA synthetases). tRNAs cope with the degeneracy of the genetic code in two manners: having more than one tRNA (with a specific anti-codon) for a particular amino acid; and 'wobble' base-pairing, i.e. permitting non-standard base-pairing at the 3rd anti-codon position. Lineage: Eukaryota; Metazoa; Chordata; Mammalia; Rodentia; Sciuridae. The record is from RNAcentral.
GUAUAUAGCUCAGUAGCAGAGUGUUUGCCUAGCAUGCACAAGGCCCUGGGUUCAACUCCCAGUACCACC